CCUACGGGCGACAGCAGUGGGGAAUAUUGGGCAAUGGGCGCAAGCCUGAUCCAGCAACGCCGCGUGAAGGAAGAAGGCUUUCGGGUUGUAAACUUCUUUUCGCAGGGACGAAGAAAGUGACGGUACCUGAGGAAUAAGCCACGGCUAACUACGUGCCAGCAGCCGCGGUAAUACGUAGGUGGCAAGCGUUAUCCGGAUUUAUUGGGUGUAAGGGGCGUGUAGGCGGGGGCGCAAGUCAGAUGUGAAAAGUCAGGGCUCAACCCUGAGCCUGCAUUUGAAACUGUGUUUCUGGAGUGCUGGAGAGGCAAGCGGAAUUCCGGGUGUAGCGGUGAAAUGCGUAGAUAUACGGAGGAACACCAGUGGCGAAGGCGGAUUGCUGGACAGUAACUGACGCUGAGGCGCGAAAGCGUGGGGAGCAAACAGGAUUAGAUACCCCAGUAGUC
This 443-nucleotide ribosomal RNA is filed under the name uncultured bacterium. RNAcentral's name for it is "partial 16S ribosomal RNA". It matches the Rfam family "Bacterial small subunit ribosomal RNA", at positions 338 to 795 of the family's 1533-position model. The record is from RNAcentral.